GACGAACCGGACAAACGUUAUUCGGAAUUACUGGGCUUAAAGGGUUCGUAGGCGGCCCUGUAAGUGAGAUGUGAAAGCCCUCGGCUCAACCGAGGAAGUGCAUUUCAUACUGCAGGGCUUGAGGGAGACAGAGGUAAGCGGAACUGAUGGUGGAGCGGUGAAAUGCGUUGAUAUCAUCAGGAACACCGGUGGCGAAAGCGGCUUACUGGGUCUCUUCUGACGCUGAGGAACGAAAGCUAGGGGAGCGAACGGG
RNAcentral lists this ribosomal RNA (253 nucleotides) under uncultured bacterium. RNAcentral describes it as "partial 16S ribosomal RNA". It matches the Rfam family "Bacterial small subunit ribosomal RNA", at positions 524 to 776 of the family's 1533-position model. The record is from RNAcentral.